Molecule: ribosomal RNA, 253 nt
Filed under: uncultured bacterium
Lineage: Bacteria
Description: partial 16S ribosomal RNA
Rfam family: Bacterial small subunit ribosomal RNA
Source: RNAcentral
UACAGAGGUCCCAAGCGUUGUUCGGAUUUACUGGGCGUAAAGCGCACGUAGGCGGAUUCUUAAGUCAGGGGUGAAAUCCCGAGGCUCAACCUCGGAACUGCCUUUGAUACUGGGGAUCUCGAGUUCGGGAGAGGUGAGUGGAAUUGCGAGUGUAGAGGUGAAAUUCGUAGAUAUUCGCAAGAACACCAGUGGCGAAGGCGGCUCACUGGCCCGAUACUGACGCUGAGGUGCGAAAGCGUGGGGAGCAAACAGG